This 468-nucleotide ribosomal RNA is filed under the name uncultured bacterium. Its description in RNAcentral is "partial 16S ribosomal RNA". It matches the Rfam family "Bacterial small subunit ribosomal RNA", at positions 28 to 507 of the family's 1533-position model. The record is from RNAcentral.
GGCGAACGCUGGCGGCGUGCUUAACACAUGCAAGUCGAACGGAAAGGCCCUGCUUUUGUGGGGUGCUCGAGUGGCGAACGGGUGAGCAACACGUGAGUAACCUGCCCUUGACUUUGGGAUAACUUCAGGAAACUGGGGCUAAUACCGGAUAGGAGCUCCUGCUGCAUGGUGGGGGUUGGAAAGUUUCGGCGGUUGGGGAUGGACUCGCGGCUUAUCAGCUUGUUGGUGGGGUAGUGGCUUACCAAGGCUUUGACGGGUAGCCGGCCUGAGAGGGUGACCGGCCACAUUGGGACUGAGAUACGGCCCAGACUCCUACGGGAGGCAGCAGUGGGGAAUAUUGCACAAUGGGCGGAAGCCUGAUGCAGCAACGCCGCGUGCGGGAUGACGGCCUUCGGGUUGUAAACCGCUUUCGCCUGUGACGAAGCGUGAGUGACGGUAAUGGGUAAAGAAGCACCGGCUAACUACGUG